CCCUAAUCCAAACAGAACUGGUGUCUUUAUAAGAAAAGGAAGAGAUACCCUAACUCUCUCCCCAUCUUGUGAGCACACAGCCAGAAGGUGGCCAUCUGCAAGACAGGAAGGGUGCUCUCACCAGAGCCUGACCAUGCUGGACCUUGACCUUGGGCCUUCAGCCUCCAGAACUGUGAGAAAAUAAUUUCUAUUGCUGUCUGCCAUGUUGUGUCAUGGCAGCUGGAGCAGACUGCUACAGUGUGAUUUGCCCCCAGUUCAUUUCUAAGUUAAAUGUGGUGCAUGAGUGCAUGCCAAGGUGCCUCAGGUGUGUCCAACUCUUUGCGACCCCAUGGACUGUAGCCCACCAGGCUCCUCUGUCCAUGGGACUCUACAGGCAAGAAUACUAAAGUAGAUUGCCAUGCCCUCCUCCAGGGGAUCUUCCUGACUCAGGGAUGGAACCUAGUCUCUUAUGUUUCCUGCAUCGGUCAUGCAGAAGGAUAUGUCCUGUGCAAGGCUGCCACCCAGUUGAGACUUCCCCCUGGACUUGGAGGGAAAAGGAUUGGGUGAAUUAUAAUGACUGCACCCUGUGGCAUGUGAGAUCUGAGUUCCCUGACCUGGGAUCAAACUUGUGGAGUUCCACUACAGUUCCCUAUAGUGGAAGUGUGGAGUCUCAACCACUGAAUCGCCAAGCUCUUUGAGGACUUCCCAGAUGGCACAGUGGUAAAGAAUCUGCCUGCCAAUACAGGAGCCACAGGAGAUGCUGGUUCGAUCCCUGGGUUGGAAAGAUACCUGGAGGAGGAAAUGACAACCCAUUCCAGUAUUCUUGCUAGGGUAAUCCCAUGGGACUGAUGCUUUUGAACUGUGGUGUUGGAGAAGACUCUUGAGAGUCCCUUGGACUGCAAGGAGAUCAAAUCAGUUAAUCUUAAAGGAAAUCAGCCCUGAAUAUUCAUUGGAAGGACUGAUGCUGAAGCUCUGAUAUUUUGGCCACCUGAUGUAAAGAACUGACUCACUGGAAAAUACCCUGAUGCUAGGCAAGAUUGAAGGCAGGAGAAGAAGGAGAUGACAGAGGAUGAGAUGGCUGGAUGGCAUGACCAACUCAUUGGACAUGAGUUUGAGCAAACUCUGGGAGUUGGUGAUUGACAGGGAAGCCUGGCCUGCUGCAGUCCAUGGGGUUGCAAAGAGUUGGACACGACAGAGCA
Bos taurus (domestic cattle) is the source of this 1178-nucleotide long non-coding RNA. The record is from Ensembl. NCBI's taxonomy places the organism in Eukaryota, Metazoa, Chordata, Mammalia, Artiodactyla, Bovidae.